Molecule: ribosomal RNA, 492 nt
Filed under: uncultured bacterium
Lineage: Bacteria
Description: partial 16S ribosomal RNA
Rfam family: Bacterial small subunit ribosomal RNA
Source: RNAcentral
AGUGAACGCUGGCGGUAGGCCUAACACAUGCGAGUCGAACGGCAGCACAGUAAGAGCUUGCUCUUACGGGUGGCGAGUGGCGGACGGGUGAGGAAUACAUCGGAAUCUACUUUUUCGUGGGGGAUAACGUAGGGAAACUUACGCUAAUACCGCAUACGACCUACGGGUGAAAGCAGGGGAUCUUCGGACCUUGCGCGAUUGAAUGAGCCGAUGUCGGAUUAGCUAGUUGGCGGGGUAAAGGCCCACCAAGGCGACGAUCCGUAGCUGGUCUGAGAGGAUGAUCAGCCACACUGGAAAUGAGACACGGUCCAGACUCCUGCAGGAGACAGCAGUGGGGAGUAUUGGACAAUAGGCGCAAGCCUGAUCAAGCCAUACCGCAUGGGUGAAGAAGGCCUUCGGGUUGUAAAGCCCUUUUGUUGGGAAAGAAAAGCAGCAGGUUAAUACCCCGCUGUUCUGACGGUACCCAAAGAAUAAGCACCGGCUAACUUCGUG